GAGGAGAGAGGGAUUGAAGGUUAAGUUGAUCUUCAAUGGCCAAUGAUUUAAUCAAUCAUGCCUGUGUAAUGAAGCCUUCAUAAAAACCUAAAAAAGGACGGGGUUUGGAGAGCUUCCUGUAAGCGAACCCGUGAAGGUUCCAGGAGGAUGGCGCACCCGGAAAGGGCGUGGAAGCUCCGCGCCCCUUCCCACAGACUUUCCCCCAUCCAUCUCUUCAUCUGGUGUUCAUCGAUAGCCUUUGUAAUGUCCUUAAUAGUAAACCGGAAAACGUUCUUUCUACGUUGCCCAAGCUGGAGUGCAGUGGCCAUUCAACAGGUGGGAUCAUAGCACACCGCAGCCUCAAAUUCCUGGGCUCCAGCGAUCCUCCCAUCUCAGCCUCCCAAGUAGCUGGGGCUAUAGGCAUGUGCCACCACACCCAGCUAUUCCUUCUUAUAGCCAAAUAAUAUUCCAUUGUAUGGAUCAUUUUUUUUCUUUUCUUUUCUUUUUUUUCUGAGAUGGAGUCUCACUCUGUUGCCCAGACGAGUGCAGUGGCACAAUCUUGGCUCACUGCAACCUUCACCUCCUGGUUCAAGCAAUUCUCCUGCCUCAGCCUCCCAAUCUCUCUCUGCUGCUGUUCUCCCUCCUCCAGAUAUUUUCAUUUCUUCUGCAAAGUGGAGGACUAAAACUGCAGUUUUAGAGUGGAGGAAGAAGAGAAUCACCACAUAUCGUAUUUAGAGGUCCUGCAGAAAGGGCAGAGCGAGUUUCAUGUUUGAGUGCAGCGGAUGCAUGGGCAAAGCAUUACACAGCCGCUCCAUGGAAGUGACAAUGAGCCUUGUCUUUCACACGUAACUCCAGGAACCAGGGGAAACAAAACCAAUUCCACCCAGAGGUACAGACAAAGAAGAGCACCCUCCCAAAGGAGCCCGCAUGAUAAGUGGCCACGGCGAACAUCACUGUGAUCAGUCAGAAAGGCAGGUAAAUAAAAAUCAAAGAGCGUUCGAGGCAGCCGCAUUGACUCACCUUGCAGACAAGCAAGCAGAGCCGCAGAGCAGUGACCCGUGCCCAGCGCCUCGCAGCUAGAGCUGGAUUGGAAUCCAGGGCUUUGCAGGCUUCCUGCUUCACUCAAUCCUCUUUCUGUUGCCUCUGGCCUCAAGGUGUUGGCCUGGGAGGAAGUAGCAGAUUAAAUUCCAUGGGCACGAAGUCCGUAGCUGACGAAUACUUAAUAUGUUGCAGUUUCACAGUGAAAGUUGGCAAGUCCAGGGUGGGAACAUGCCCCAAGCAGCUGAGUCUUCUGGAUUUUACUUCUGUUCUUUGCCUCUCAAUUUUUGAUUUUGUUAUAUAAAAAGCAAAUCAGUAACUAUUGCAUUA
Homo sapiens (human) is the source of this 1347-nucleotide long non-coding RNA. Lineage: Eukaryota; Metazoa; Chordata; Mammalia; Primates; Hominidae. The record is from Ensembl.